CACUUAGCACCAUUGCCCCCAGGAGCUGAGCUUUCCUCCUGUGCUCUUGGUUCCCCCCUCCAGCACCAUGACUGCCUUCCUCUGCCCCCUGCUCCUCUUGGUCCUGGCUCCAGGUGUGCAGUCCCAGCUCCAGCUCCAGGAGUCUGGCCCAGGGGUGGUGAAGCCGGGGGAGACCCUCAGCCUGACCUGCACCGUCACUGGUGGCACCUUCAGCAGCAGCUAUUGGUGGAACUGGAUCCGCCAAGCUCCUGGCAAAGGCCUGGAGUGGAUGGGAAGAUGGGAUGGCAGCGCAAACUACAAUCCACCCUUCCAGGGCAGAAUCACCAUCUCUGGGGACUUCUCCAGCAGGAAGUACCACCUGCAGCUCAGCUCCCUGACAUCUGCAGACACUGCCAUGUAUUACAUCGAGGUUGCAUCGCUGUGA
This is a non-coding RNA of Alligator mississippiensis (American alligator), 424 nucleotides long. NCBI's taxonomy places the organism in Eukaryota, Metazoa, Chordata, Crocodylia, Alligatoridae. The record is from the annotation of a RefSeq genome assembly.